AGGAAGGCAAAUUGGAAGCGAAGGCAAAUGCAGGGGGUGGAGGAGGCCCACGCUCGUCACACCGAGUUGAAGGUUAGUUAGAAAAUUCAUAAGUUGCUAUAAUAGUUGCUUUCCAUGGCAAUCUGAGUCUAGCUACAGCUUUCCUACUUUUGCUAGCGUGUUCAUAACCCUGACU
This is a long non-coding RNA of Phyllostomus discolor (pale spear-nosed bat), 175 nucleotides long. RefSeq lists it as uncharacterized. Lineage: Eukaryota; Metazoa; Chordata; Mammalia; Chiroptera; Phyllostomidae. The record is from RefSeq and is a predicted model, not a curated record. The transcript has 3 exons.